Molecule: non-coding RNA, 81 nt
Organism: Ceratotherium simum simum (southern white rhinoceros)
Lineage: Eukaryota; Metazoa; Chordata; Mammalia; Perissodactyla; Rhinocerotidae
Source: RefSeq, a predicted model, not a curated record
UCUUUUACAGUCUGGAAACCUGUUCUGCUACUCACCUAGGAUGAGGCUGAUUUGGAGCAUCAGGGUCUGGCAGGGGAACCA